RNAcentral lists this ribosomal RNA (109 nucleotides) under Muribaculaceae bacterium. The record is from RNAcentral. Lineage: Bacteria; Pseudomonadati; Bacteroidota; Bacteroidia; Bacteroidales; Muribaculaceae.
UCAGGUGAAGAUAGCAUAAGGGCUCCACCUCUUCCCAUUCCGAACAGAGAAGUUAAACCUUAUCACGCCGAUGGUACUGCGAAAGCGGGAGAGUAGGUAAUCGCCACCU